UUUUUUUUUUUUUUUUUCUUUUUCCCCCUCUUCCGCGUAAAAAAGUAACGAGGCAAAACUUAAUUAAUUGCCCAGAGAUUAAGGACAAAUAAUGGAAAUGGUGGUCCCGACUAGCCGUUGUGCGAAGGGUUUUUCAGUUUCUUUUUGCUAGGAAAUGGAGCAGAGUUUGAGGCAUCUCCACCGUUGACACGAACAUUCCCGUUCGGAUCAGGAACAGAAUCGAUGGUCACAUGAUCCAUUGGGCCACCCGGGCGGUGGGCGGUCUUAAAGUUUUGGGCUUGGGCCAUUGGUGGGUCUGGGUCAGCUACUCCGUAGAUGGCGCGGGAUUGCUUCCCCGAAUAGGUUUAUAAUUUGAUUUCUAAUGUUCUUUGUUAUUAGGGUUUUCUGAUCAACCAAGGUUUUAAGCGAAUGGAUGGGUUUAAACAAUUAUGGUAAAUCGAUAAUUGCAAAACUCAAUUGGUUUUAGACUUACAUUGUUUCUGAAAUUAAGAUGGAAUUACAGGGCGAACAUGCAGUCAAUGGAUCGGACACCGGAGAAAGUGGCAUAUGGUGGUAUGUUCUGUAUCCUCGACUUCUCUAUGUCUUUCCCCAAAACAGUUCUUUUUCAUUUUUUGUGGUUCACUGUCUUUUACCAGCGGGUGUUGCGACUGGAGCUGUAGGUAUAGCUGCAGGGGUAUCAUUCGGCUCUAAGAUGGUCUUCGACUGGUUUGUUUCUUCCUCUGAUUCUUAUACUCAUUUCCCAGUUCUUUAUUUUAGCUUUCUUUUUUUUUUAACUUUUCCUUAUAUAUUUCUUCUUUUUGUUGGUAAAUUUUAAUGAUAAUGUUUAUUCACGUAGGGUUAUUGAUCGCUGUGAUGAAUUCGAGACGAGGACUAUACAGAGGUUUGCUCAACUCUAUGUACAUCUACGUCUCCUUCUCCCUGAUCUCCAUUUUUGUCAAAUCAAUCACUGCUGUUAAGAUGGUUUCAUUUGUCAGCGGAGUCAAUAACUAAUUUAUCUAUUGCUGAUUGUCCGACUUCCUAUUGCUUUAGAAGCUUGAUACUGCUUGUGGUUACUCUUUGUUGGUUGAAUUAUUAUUAUAAAGAUUCGUCCUAUUUCUUCUCAUUUGGGAGUUUGAUUCCUUACAUUUGUCUAUGGAAGUUUCUUGUUUUAGUUAGGAGAAGUCAAGGUACGAUUAUGUUUUUAAUCCAGGCUUACCCGUUCUCCUUCUCACAAGAAAGAAACCUGUGCAUCUAGCCCGGUGCUAUAGGUCUAAGUAAGUGGAAAAACUUUAUGUUUGAGCCACUAUAUUGGUUUCAGCCUGGACUCUUGCAGCGUUCGGUAUUUGGAGUUCUUGGUGUCCAAAAAAAAAAAUUGUCACUAAAUGUAACGGAAUGUGAUUAUUUAUGUCGUUCAUGCACUCAUAAAUGCUCAGUUCGGAUUGUACUAUUUCUAUGUUUGGAUUCACACUUCAUACAUUCAUGAAUUAUUCCAUUCUGUCUGAUCUCCAAUAACUUAAUUGUUCUUCUUUCAGUUAUGUGUUCAGUUACUUCUCUGUUUCAGAUGGCUGCAUCUUUAAUUUGUCUUGAUUCUGUUUCUUAUAUGAUGGGAAGGAAUUGGAAUUUCCAAUCAUUUCUCUUUUUAUUGACUUUCAGGAUUAUGCGAAAAAUAGAAAUGAACAGAAGGGAUGGAAGUAAAGGAAUUUCAGCAUCAAAGCUCUCAGGAUUUGAACCAGAUGUAACUUUCCAAAUAAGAGUGCUAUGAUAUUCAUGAUCUGUUGAGUCCUUAAUAAUUUGUAUAGCAUUAUAUUUAUGCCUGAACGAUUCUAUUAUAGUAAAUCGAUUGUGCCUUAAGAUGAGAAUUCUUUUAUUUAUGGUUAUAGCAAAGAGGUUCCCUCUAAUGGGUUUCUGAUAAAUCGAUUGUGUGUUAGCUAGAUGCAUUAGAUAGCAUUAAUAUGUUGCCAAAAUUGCUUGAAAUGUUCAUGUAUAUGGAUUUCAUGGAAAGGAACAUGUUGUUUAUUAUGGCUACAAUGUGUUUUUCUUUUUGUUGCUUUUAUAGAUGUCUAGGAGGCUAAAGUAUUUCCUUAAAAGAGAAAAGAGUUGUCUUUGUCCACUAAUAGGAGUUUCUGAAUUAAUUUGAGACGUUUGAUCGCUGAUAUUAACUCUGAAGAAGCUCAUUUUGCAGGACACGUAAUAUCUUGGGUGACUGGAAAGAAAGCUGUGGAGAAAUGCAGGUUGAAAGCACAUAUGAUACUGCGAUAUAGCUUUCCUUUCUUUUGGUUAAUCCUCUCCUCUUUGUCAUGAUGACUUUUAUAGUUGUGAUUAAUUUUAGAAGCUCCUUUGCUGGAUUUUGUUUGGAUAAGAGGAUAUCUGGUUUGUUGAUCCUUUUCAAUCAAUCUAUAUGCUCAUUUGCAAGCAUUGUUGCAAUUGUUAUAGUGGAGGAAGUGGAACUGGAAGUCUCCUUUCAACAAUCACAUGACUAAUAUUACCUGUGUCAUCAAUUUAUUAAUAAUUUUAAUUUUAUAAAAAAAUAAAUAAAUAAAUAAAAGCACC
RNAcentral lists this long non-coding RNA (2529 nucleotides) under Jatropha curcas. Its description in RNAcentral is "long non-coding RNA (JCUR_LNC002530)". Lineage: Eukaryota; Viridiplantae; Streptophyta; Magnoliopsida; Malpighiales; Euphorbiaceae. The record is from RNAcentral.